GGAAGUUAAGAAACUGUUUCUUAACUUUUAACUAAAAGAACUGAAAACCGGUUUUUAAAUAAGAACUUUAAGAACUGGUUCUUAACUUUUUUUAGUUAAAAGUUAAGAAACAAUUUUUUAACUUCU
Molecule: microRNA precursor, 126 nt
Filed under: Brassica napus (rape)
Lineage: Eukaryota; Viridiplantae; Streptophyta; Magnoliopsida; Brassicales; Brassicaceae
Description: MIR9563 microRNA precursor family
Rfam family: MIR9563 microRNA precursor family
Source: Rfam by way of RNAcentral